This 546-nucleotide long non-coding RNA is filed under the name Brassica napus (rape). RNAcentral's name for it is "long non-coding RNA (BNAP_LNC005899)". Lineage: Eukaryota; Viridiplantae; Streptophyta; Magnoliopsida; Brassicales; Brassicaceae. The record is from RNAcentral.
UAGCUAUUUUGGUGAUUUUUCUUUAUUGAAGUCUAUUUUGUGACAAAAACUUAAAAAUUGCUAUUUGAGAGAAUUGCCGUAAAAGUAAUAUAAAUGCAUUUGUGUUUUAUAUUAAUUAUAUCUAUUUAACUAAUAAUAUUUGAGAUAAAUAAAUUAUUUUUAAAAUUAAUACAUUAAGUUAAAAUAAAUAUAAAUUGAAAUGGUACUUUGAAGAUGAUAACUUUUAAGAAAGAAAGAGAUAAAUUAUUUAGGAUCUGGGACAAAUGCUUUCUUUUUGACAACACCUUAAGCAAUGCACGGUCCUGACGAGGAGCAAAAAGAUGAACGAGGGUGAGAUAUCUAUUAGUGCAAGAUGACACUACAAUAGUACUGCAGAAGAUAAUUCAAGAGACAAAAAAAUACAAGUAAACACUCUGCUUUAUUAGAAUUUCUUUAAACAAUCUAUUACAAGAUCUUGUUUAUUCAGCUUUACUCGUCUAGUGUUAACACCCUAACACACGACACUGAAGGAUUCCUAAGCUACCUACUUAUGUUUCUUUCCCGUCA